RNAcentral lists this transfer RNA (74 nucleotides) under Treponema sp. RNAcentral's name for it is "tRNA-Arg". It matches the Rfam family "tRNA". Rfam says of the family: Transfer RNA (tRNA) molecules are approximately 80 nucleotides in length. Their secondary structure includes four short double-helical elements and three loops (D, anti-codon, and T loops). Further hydrogen bonds mediate the characteristic L-shaped molecular structure. tRNAs have two regions of fundamental functional importance: the anti-codon, which is responsible for specific mRNA codon recognition, and the 3' end, to which the tRNAs corresponding amino acid is attached (by aminoacyl-tRNA synthetases). tRNAs cope with the degeneracy of the genetic code in two manners: having more than one tRNA (with a specific anti-codon) for a particular amino acid; and 'wobble' base-pairing, i.e. permitting non-standard base-pairing at the 3rd anti-codon position. The record is from RNAcentral. Lineage: Bacteria; Pseudomonadati; Spirochaetota; Spirochaetia; Treponematales; Treponemataceae. RNAcentral also lists the same sequence under 1 other name.
GGCCCCCUAGCUCAAUUGGAUAGAGCGACAGCCUCCUAAGCUGUAGGUAGCGAGUUCGAAUCCCGCGAGGGUCA